GCCACUGUGUGUAAGUGGUUUGAGUGUUAGACUAUGACUCUGAAGGCCAGAGUUCAAAUCCUUGCUCAGCCA
Molecule: non-coding RNA, 72 nt
Organism: Phrynosoma platyrhinos (Desert horned lizard)
Lineage: Eukaryota; Metazoa; Chordata; Lepidosauria; Squamata; Phrynosomatidae
Source: the annotation of a GenBank genome assembly